Long non-coding RNA from Salvelinus sp. IW2-2015, 2241 nucleotides. RefSeq lists it as uncharacterized. The record is from RefSeq and is a predicted model, not a curated record. Lineage: Eukaryota; Metazoa; Chordata; Actinopteri; Salmoniformes; Salmonidae.
UACAGGCAGUGCUACGGGCAGUGCUACGAGCAGUGCUACGAGCAGUGCUCCUCAGCUGAACUGUAUCUGCUGCCUGUUUAGCAGUGGGGAGAAGACAUUAUUAGGCGGCGUGCUCCUCCCUCUCCACAGCCAGGCAGCCUUAUCUGUCAGCCAUUAGUUAAUCAAGGCUGGUAACGUAAAAGUAGAGCAGAAAACUGGCACAGCGCGUGGGACCAAAGGACAACCUCUGAGAGCUGAGCUGAGCAGAGCAGGAGGAGGGCAAGGACCCGGGAACCGACCAACUCCUCCACUCUAAACUCUACUACCAGGCUAGGCUGCUGCCUCACUCUACUCAACACUGGAUCAGGCAUGGCAGGCUGCAAUUGUAUGAUGACAGCCGCCCAUUCCAUCGCAGAGAACAGGUCCUGUUUUGCAAGAAAGUUUCAAAGACAGAAGUCAAAACAACACAUGCUGCCGACGUGGGAAAAGCUGGUAAGAUCAGAGCAUCGUGGGGCGGAGGAAUGUCAGAGUCAUAGAUCUUUCAUCCUCAAGGCCAAAAUGCCUGAUCAUCUCCAUGCAUGGGAAGAAACGAUAAGCAACACCUCAUAUUAGCACUAAUACAGUCCAGUCCAACCCUGGCCAACGUGGUCCAAAUCUGGCAUCCAGACAUCAGUGGCCAAAGAUAUAUCGUUAGACAAUUACUACACGAGUAAGUAGGCUGUAUUAACUGAAAUUAAUUGGUAUUAACUCGCAAAUAGGAUUUCCUCACAAAAGAGUUGGUACAAACCAAUGUCAUAAGUAUAUUUAGGUACCGAAGGUAAAAAAUAGGGACAUUUCUUAUUGGCGUCACCAUGGAGUUUAUUGUAAGGGUAAUGAUGAUUGAAAAGGAUAUUGCAACGUCUAAAUAAUUAUUGGUCUGUGUUAACAAAGUUGACAAAAUGUUCACUACAAGAGCUUAAGGCUGCUUGUGAUGGAAAAUGAAAGCAGUCGACUAAACUCAACUGUGUAGUUGGUGCCAAACAAUCCUAAAAGGGCAUAUUAAGUUUCCCCAACAGGAUUCUCUUUUUAAGUCAACACCACUCAGAAAAGAUGAACUGAGCAACCAUAAGUCAACUUUCGGGAAUGACAAAAACAACCAGUUUUUCUACCUGUCCAAACAUUCAGCUGGAACCAAGAUCCAUUUCCAUGUCCCACUCCAGAAAAACUCCAUUGGUGCUUCAUUGAGUACAAUGCUGUUGUCUCAUAAAGCUAUGCCAGACCAGGAAAGUGAACCUGAUCUAGAACAGCAGAACUAAAAAGACGGAACAAUGCAUGAGAUUCUAAAGUGACCUUUUGGCCCAGGAUUUCCAAGAGCUUCCAAGAGUCCCUAUUCCUGGCAAAUUCCAUCUUCUUCUUACUCAACACCACUUCACUGUUAAGCUGUCAAGACCCAAACUCUAGUGUCAUUUAUCCUAGUGACGAGUUCACAACCAAAGCCAAAGACAUGGUGUUCUUUAAAAUAAAUAAAUAAAAUAAAAUGUUAUUUGUCACAUGCUUCGUAAACAACAAGUGUAGACUAACAGUGAAAUGCUUACCUACGGGCCCUUCCCAUCAAUGCAGAGAAAAAUGAUAGAAAAAAAUGAUAACACGAGGAAUAAAUACACAACGAGUAACGAUAACUUGGCUAUAUACAUGGGGUACAGCUAACGUUUGUCUUUCGGCAUUGUUCAUCCUGGGUUCCCAUAAUAGAAUUGCAUCGUAAGACACCAACGACCUUGACCUUGGCCUUGUGAUCCAACCAAAAAGCUACAGUGGACUCCAAAAGUGGUGUUAAAACUUGAGAAUAACUGUGUCCUUAACAGUAGAAGKAAAACAAGUUAUUAGGUAAAAGCAUUGACUACAAAGUCAAAGGCAACUAUAAUUCCUUGGCUUCCAGCAUAUCAGAUAUAAUAUUUGCCCACCAAUGACUGCCUCACGUAGCCACACUGUAUAUUUUCAGAUCCUAGACGGGUGUCAAACAUAGGGGAUGGUUUGAGGGAUGGUUUGAGUAUAUACUAUAUUUUCUAAUAGGACUAUAUCAUUAUUCUAUCAUUAUACUGAGUGGCGCAGCGGUUUAAGGCCCUGCAUCGCAGUGCUAGAGGCGUCACUACAGACCCAGGUUCGAUCCCGGCUGUAGAAAUAAUACAGUUCCUUGACUGUGUCCCUUAGGGCGUUGCACAAUUGGCCCAGUGUCGUCCAGGUUAGGGGAGGGUUUUGCCGGGGCAGGCUGUCAUUGUAAAUAAG